AUUGAACGCUGGCGGCAUGCUUUACACAUGCAAGUCGAACGGUAACAGGCCUUCGGGUGCUGACGAGUGGCGAACGGGUGAGUAAUGCAUCGGGACGUACCCAGAGGUGGGGGAUAACGCAGCGAAAGCUGUGCUAAUACCGCAUGUGAUCUGAGGAUGAAAGCGGGGGACCGAGCAGCAAUGUUUGGCCUCGCGCCUUUGGAGCGGCCGAUGUCGGAUUAGCUAGUUGGUGGGGUAAAGGCCUACCAAGGCGACGAUCCGUAGCUGGUCUGAGAGGACGACCAGCCACACUGGGACUGAGACACGGCCCAGACUCCUACGGGAGGCAGCAGUGGGGAAUUUUGGACAAUGGGCGCAAGCCUGAUCCAGCAAUGCCGCGUGCGGGAAGAAGGCCUUCGGGUUGUAAACCGCUUUUGGCAGGAACGAAACGGUGUCCGCUAAUACCGGGCGCUAAUGACGGUACCUGCAGAAUAAGCACCGGCUAACUACGUG
This 492-nucleotide ribosomal RNA is filed under the name uncultured bacterium. RNAcentral's name for it is "partial 16S ribosomal RNA". It matches the Rfam family "Bacterial small subunit ribosomal RNA", at positions 29 to 507 of the family's 1533-position model. The record is from RNAcentral.